ACGCACGCUGGCGGCGUGCCUAAUACAUGCAAGUUGAGCGCUGAAGGUUGGUACUUGUACCAACUGGAUGAGCAGCGAACGGGUGAGUAACGCGUGGGGAAUCUGCCUUUGAGCGGGGGACAACAUUUGGAAACGAAUGCUAAUACCGCAUAAAAACUUUAAACACAAGUUUUAAGUUUGAAAGAUGCAAUUGCAUCACUCAAAGAUGAUCCCGCGUUGUAUUAGCUAGUUGGUGAGGUAAAGGCUCACCAAGGCGAUGAUACAUAGCCGACCUGAGAGGGUGAUCGGCCACAUUGGGACUGAGACACGGCCCAAACUCCUACGGGAGGCAGCAGUAGGGAAUCUUCGGCAAUGGACGAAAGUCUGACCGAGCAACGCCGCGUGAGUGAAGAAGGUUUUCGGAUCGUAAAACUCUGUUGGUAGAGAAGAACGUUGGUGAGAGUGGAAAGCUCAUCAAGUGACGGUAACUACCCAGAAAGGGACGGCUAACUACGU
This 495-nucleotide ribosomal RNA is filed under the name uncultured bacterium. RNAcentral's name for it is "partial 16S ribosomal RNA". It matches the Rfam family "Bacterial small subunit ribosomal RNA", at positions 29 to 506 of the family's 1533-position model. The record is from RNAcentral.